This 275-nucleotide long non-coding RNA is filed under the name Pan troglodytes (chimpanzee). Its description in RNAcentral is "long non-coding RNA NONPTRT015396". The record is from RNAcentral. Lineage: Eukaryota; Metazoa; Chordata; Mammalia; Primates; Hominidae.
UAAGGAUUUGAGAACAUGAGAACAAACAAACAGGAAUAUGCAGGAAAUCAUUGAGGACACAGGAGAUGAAGUCAACCUGUGGCCAAGGGAGAGGGAGGGACAUGAGAAGCUUUGUGAAAGAUGUCAGCACAAACCUCAGGUUUCUGUAUCCAGUGAAAAUAUCAUUUAAAGAUAAACAUGAAAUAAAUGUUUCCAGCUGGACUACACUAUGUAAAAAUGAAGUUAUUUAGGAUGAAGAAUAAUGACACCACAUAAUCAUAUUUUCAGUAAAAAUG